This 470-nucleotide ribosomal RNA is filed under the name uncultured bacterium. Its description in RNAcentral is "bacterial SSU rRNA". It matches the Rfam family "Bacterial small subunit ribosomal RNA", at positions 335 to 799 of the family's 1533-position model. The record is from RNAcentral.
ACUCCUACGGGAGGCAGCAGUGGGGAAUAUUGCACAAUGGGCGCAAGCCUGAUGCAGCCAUGCCGCGUGUAUGAAGAAGGCCCUAGGGUUGUAAAGUACUUUCAGUCGGGAGGAAGGCGUUGAUGCUAAUAUCAUCAACGAUUGACGUUACCGACAGAAGAAGCACCGGCUAACUCCGUGCCAGCAGCCGCGGUAAUACGGAGGGUGCAAGCGUUAAUCGGAAUUACUGGGCGUAAAGCGCACGCAGGCGGUUGAUUAAGUUAGAUGUGAAAUCCCCGGGCUUAACCUGGGAAUGGCAUCUAAGACUGGUCAGCUAGAGUCUUGUAGAGGGGGUAGAAUUCCAUGUGUAGCGGUGAAAUGCGUAGAGAUGUGGAGGAAUACCGGUGGCGAAGGCGGCCCCCUGGACAAAGACUGACGCUCAGGUGCGAAAGCGUGGGAGCAAACAGGAUUAGAUACCCUGGUAGGCUCUG